CUGACAAAUUCGUAUGGGUCGAUAUCGGAAUAGAUAGCCCGGUUCGCCUUGAAGUACUUUCGAAGGAAGUAUCAAUAGGAGAACGCGUUAAUGUCAG
This 97-nucleotide non-coding RNA is filed under the name unclassified sequences. The record is from Rfam.